Molecule: ribosomal RNA, 385 nt
Filed under: uncultured bacterium
Lineage: Bacteria
Description: bacterial SSU rRNA
Rfam family: Bacterial small subunit ribosomal RNA
Source: RNAcentral
GGAGGAAGCCCCGGCUAACUCCGUGCCAGCAGCCGCGGUAAUACGGAGGGGGCAAGCGUUGUUCGGAUUUACUGGGCGUAAAGGGUGUGUAGGCGGUUGCGUAAGUCUGGUGUGAAAUCUUCAUCGCUCAACGGGAAGAGGUCACUGGAAACUGCGUAACUCGAGUAUGGUAGAGGCAAGCGGAAUUCCUGGUGUAGCGGUGGAAUGUGUAGAUAUCAGGAAGAACAUCUGUGGCGAAGGCGGCUUGCUGGGCCAUCACUGACGCUGAGACACGAAAGCGUGGGGAGCAAACGGGAUUAGAUACCCCGGUAGUCCACGCCAUAAACGGUGCGCACUAGGUGUGGGAGGUAUCGACCCCUCCUGUGCCGAAGCUAACGCAUUAAGC